Molecule: ribosomal RNA, 816 nt
Filed under: uncultured bacterium
Lineage: Bacteria
Description: bacterial SSU rRNA
Rfam family: Bacterial small subunit ribosomal RNA
Source: RNAcentral
AGUUCUCGUUGAUGAUCGGUGCUUGCACCGAGAUUCAACAUGGAACGAGUGGCGGACGGGUGAGUAACACGUGGGUAACCUGCCCUUAAGUGGGGGAUAACAUUUGGAAACAGAUGCUAAUACCGCAUAGAUCCAAGAACCGCAUGGUUCUUGGCUGAAAGAUGGCGUAAGCUAUCGCUUUUGGAUGGACCCGCGGCGUAUUAGCUAGUUGGUGAGGUAACGGCUCACCAAGGCGAUGAUACGUAGCCGAACUGAGAGGUUGAUCGGCCACAUUGGGACUGAGACACGGCCCAAACUCCUACGGGAGGCAGCAGUAGGGAAUCUUCCACAAUGGACGCAAGUCUGAUGGAGCAACGCCGCGUGAGUGAAGAAGGCUUUCGGGUCGUAAAACUCUGUUGUUGGAGAAGAAUGGUCGGCAGAGUAACUGUUGUCGGCGUGACGGUAUCCAACCAGAAAGCCACGGCUAACUACGUGCCAGCAGCCGCGGUAAUACGUAGGUGGCAAGCGUUAUCCGGAUUUAUUGGGCGUAAAGCGAGCGCAGGCGGUUUUUUAAGUCUGAUGUGAAAGCCCUCGGCUUAACCGAGGAAGCGCAUCGGAAACUGGGAAACUUGAGUGCAGAAGAGGACAGUGGAACUCCAUGUGUAGCGGUGAAAUGCGUAGAUAUAUGGAAGAACACCAGUGGCGAAGGCGGCUGUCUGGUCUGUAACUGACGCUGAGGCUCGAAAGCAUGGGUAGCGAACAGGAUUAGAUACCCUGGUAGUCCAUGCCGUAAACGAUGAAUGCUAGGUGUUGGAGGGUUUCCGCCCUUCAGUGCCG